This 517-nucleotide ribosomal RNA is filed under the name uncultured archaeon. RNAcentral's name for it is "bacterial SSU rRNA". It matches the Rfam family "Archaeal small subunit ribosomal RNA", at positions 93 to 593 of the family's 1478-position model. The record is from RNAcentral.
GUAACACGUAGUCAACCUGCCCUGGAGACAUGGAAAACCCCGGGAAACUGGGAUUAAUCCGUGAUAGGUCACCUCAUCUGGAAGGAGAGAUGGCUUAAAGGGAUGCGAGAGCUUCUUUCUUGCAUUCGCUCCAGGAUGGGACUGCGGCCGAUCAGGCUGUUGGCGGUGUAAUGGACCACCAAACCUGUAACCGGUACGGGCCUUGAGAGAGGGGGCCCGGAGAUGGACACUGAGAGAAGGGUCCAGGUCCUACGGGGCGCAGCAGGCGCGAAACCUUCGCAAUGCGCGAAAGCGUGACGAGGUUAAUCCGAGUGGUCCCCGCUGAGGGGAUCUUUUGUUGGCUGUAAAAAGGCCGAUGAAUAAGGGGAGGGCAAGUCUGGUGUCAGCCGCCGCGGUAAUACCAGCUCCUCGAGUGGUCGGGGCGAUUAUUGGGCCUAAAGCAUCCGUAGCCGGUUCUGUAGGUCCUCUGUCAAAUCCAACGGCUUAACCGUUGGCCCGCAGAGGAUACCGCAGGACU